AUAGCCUUUGUCUUCAGGGCUCGUUCAGUUCUUCUCUCCCUCCCUCGAGUUCCAAAUCAGCUGCAGGAAGUUGUGGCUGUUCCCAGACCUCGAGCUUACAGAGAAAGACUUAAAAAAAUAAAAUAAAAUGAUAUUCUACAGAGAAGGGCGUUCGAGGCAGCUCAAGACACUCAGGGCUGAUUUCCUUCAGAAUGGAUCAGUGGCGUAGCGUGGGUUGUCAGCACCCGGGGCAAGGCAAGUAAUUUGCGCCCCCUAACCCGUGGAUUUGCGCCCCCUAACCCUAAUCUCCAGAUGUUGCGCCCGGUGCGGCCGGCACCCCCCACGCUACGCCACUGGAAUGGAUAGGUUUGAUCUUCUUGAUCAGUCCAUGGGACUCUCAAGAGUCUCCUCCAGCUCCAUAAUUCAAAAGCAUCAAUUCUUUGGCGAUCAGCCUUCUUUAUGGUCCAGCUCUCACUUCCAUACAUCACUACUGGGAAAACCAUAGCUUUAACUAUACGGACCUUUGUUGGCAAGGUGAUGUCUCUGCUUUUUAAGAUGCUGUCUAGGUUUGCCAUUGCUUUCCUCCCAAGAAGCAGGCGUCUUUUAAUUUUGUGACUGCUGUCACCAUCUGCAGUGAUCAUGGAGCCCAAGAAAGUAAAAUCUCUCAGUGCCUCCAUUUCUUCCCUUUCUAUUUGCCAGGAGGUGAUGGGCCCAGUGGCCAUGAUCUUCGUUUUUUUGAUGUUGAGCUUCAGACCGUAUUUUGCAACGUCCCUAUUUUCCUGGAAGGGUCUGGAAUAGGGUGUCCCUAUUUUCAUUGGAGAAAUGUUGGAGGGUAUGCAGUUAUCCAAUCCCCGAGCCAUGUGAAGGCAAUCCUGUAUAGGGAAGACUUUUAUUUUUUAAAAAGUUUCAUGUUUUAUUAUGCAUUUAUAUAUGUUGGAAGCUACCCAGAGUGGCUAGGGCAACCCAGUAAAGUUGUGUGGGGUAUAAAUAGUAAAAUUGGAAUGGGGCGUCCCUAUUUUCAUCAGAGAAAUGUUGGAGGGUAUGUGGGUUUGAGCCCCCAUGUUGGGCAAAGCAUUCCUGUACUGUGGGGGUUGGACUAGAUGACUGUCCUGGCCCCCUUCCAAUUCUACAGUAUGAUUUUCUAAGACGUGCAUGGCGCACCGGGAAAUAGAUGGGAGUCGUAGCAUCUAAAUGGGAAAAUGGCGCUGACUGUGUUUCCCUACAGAGGAAGGAGGAAAAGAACGGAAGGGGCUUGGUUUUGCUGGCUGCUUUUAGCCACCAGUACAGUUCUCAUGGGGCUGCCUUAAAAAAAGAACGUGGAAAUUCCAAGUGGAACAAAAUGUGGCAGCUUAACUCUUGGUCAGAAGAACAGAUGAUAUCUGUGUUGUAUUAGUUUGCAAUAGUUGCCAAUGUGUUUCUAAGCCCAAUUUACAGUGCUGGUGAUGGUCUUUAAAGGACUAAAUGACUUGGGACUGAAUUGCCAAAAGGUUCAUCUGCUCAUAUCUUAGCACACUGAUGAAAAUAGGGAUUUAAUAAUAAUAAUAACAACAGGAUUUGUCUGGAACCACCAUGUCAAGAGUGCCUAAUGUUACAUAGCUAGUGGUGCAACUAUGGGCUUGUCCACACUAGAGUUUAUUGUGCAUACACCUCAUCCAUGCGACCUCCACCUCAGACUGAAGGUCUUCCACUCUGUGAAUUUGGAUUUCCCUAAUCUGAGGAUAAUCUGAUAAUGGUCAGGAAAAUAUGACUCCAAAUUAGUCUACUUGGAAAGUGGGCCUGUUGAAUCAAUCUGUUCCCUGUAGGUGAAUCAAACUUCUACGGUACUCCCCUUUCCAUGCUCCUGACUUCCUCUUAACCAUCAGUUCUUUUCCAGAAGCUCCAGAAAGCAGUCAUGCAUUUUAAAGAAUGUUUACACUGUGUUCUGAUAGAAGUGCUUCUCUUGAGAAUAAUGAGGAUAGCAGCAAAGACCAGCGACCAACUGAGGCUUGUUAGAUACACUCCCACACUUCUCUUUAACAGACAUCUAGACAAAUGAAGUAUUAUCACAGUUCAAAGUCACAUUCCAGUCAGGGAAAACCACCCAAGGAAGCUGCAAAGUAGGGUUGAUGUGGGGCAUGGCCUGGAAAGAGGGUGUGGCUGGAGCAAGUGCUGAGGACCAGACAGAGUAAUUUGAAGGGUCGUAAUUGGUCCCCAGAUCCAUAGCUGUCAACUUACAGAUUUGAAAAUAAGUGACCAGCAGCCUUGAAAAUAAGGGAUCAGCAGCCAAAAUAAGGGACCUGCAGCCUCACCUGUUCCAGGCACUCCAGUCUUCCUGUCCUCCUGCAGUCUGGUCAAACUCAUGCUGGUAGCUUUGAGAACACUGUCCAACCAACUUUGUAACCAGAGGUUCAACUGAACAGAAUCUGAAUCACAUGCACCACAAGGCCUAUGCAGCCUCAACUUAAGAUGGCUCCCCGGCCUGGCUUUGCACUGCAAAGUUUGCAGCAGCACGUGCAACAAAAUGGCGUCCAGCAUUCAAAAAACCCCUCAGCUUGCAUUAACUAGCCACAUACACACAGCCUCCCCCCCCCACCACAAGAUCGCCAGUCACCCACCAUUUUAGUCAACCAGCUCCUUUCUUUUUCCCAUAAGUCAAUCGAAGGAGCCUCCAAAACAAAUUCAAAAGCCCCCCCCCCCAAGAUCUCCUUUCCUUUUCCCCCACCAUGUGCCCCCGCUCCAGACAGACCUUUUCGCCGGCAAAGGUGAGUGGGCCGUCGAUGACUUAUAAAUCUGAUUCUGAUCCGAGCACUCAGCACAGGUAUGUUCAACUUCUGAGCCCCUCUGAGCCAAAGGCAGAAAGCCCAGCCAGCAGCCAAACAAAGCCUCAAGGAAAACCACCGUCACCUCUCCACUGGGAAGCGCUGAGCAAAGGCGAGUCCCCAGGGAACACAGCCGAUUUGAUCAGCACAAGGCAUGCAAGCUCCACCCCCCAGUUGUUCUUAGACUUCUUAUUGGGUGAGCAACACAGCCAAGCAACACAAUUGGAGCCUCCCUCCUCCCUGGCCGGCAGGGAGGGAGGGAGAGGAGCUGCUUCCUUUGAAAUUUAAGGGACAUCAUCUAAGGGACAUCCAUCAGUAAGGGACAGCAGUGGGACAUGGCGCUGGAAUAAGGGACUGUCCCUUCAAAUAAGGGAUGCUUGACAGCUAUGCCCAGAUCUGAGAUUCUCCAUGUCAGUCUAGAGGGUAAAUGUUUCUUAUACAUGAGUUUGAUGCUUGCUUACUAAUUCUCCACCCUGCCUUAUUACCGGCCUAUUGUUGUUGAGUUUCUUCUAGAUAAAGCCCUACAGAGAAAAAUGCAUGUAUACUCAGCAUCUUGCAAGACAAGGGCAAAUGUAUUUAUAUAGAUAUAUGCAUUUGACUAUACCAUUGAAAUUGUGGUAUUCUCUUAGCAAUCACACACUAAGUAAAAGCAUGAAACAUUUGAUUAAAACAGCUACUUAGCUUCAGACUAAACAUUGCUUUUCAGAUAAAACAAAAAUAAAUAUGACCAGAUCAGAUAUUAAUGGACCAGAAAUUGUGCUUUAAUUCAUUGGUGCACUUGCAAAAUGACAUAAAAUCCUCGCUAGUGAAUACUUCCACCAUAUAUUUAGAAGUUUUUGUGCUUGAACAGUGCCUUUAAAAUAUUUUGAAAGCUUUUAGUUGUUAUGAACUAGUAAUCACAUAUUUUAACUCUAACAUAAAAUAUGCAUUAAAGUAUAAAUAUACUGAAAAAUUACUCUAUUUAGAGUAGUAAUCAAAACCUGAAUGCAAAUGUUGUUAAAUACAAAUCUUAGCGAGUAAUUACUCAAGAUAACAGGCAUAAUUUAUUCUGCCUCCAAUAAGACAGAGGGGUAGACAAAAAGGCCAUAAACAAACUGCAUUUAAACAAAAACAACUUCUAUGUUCUAUUCCUUCAUAAGUGUUCCAGAAAUCUUGUAGACAACAUGACACAUGAAGGGUGUUAGCUUAACAUUACAUUUCACUUUAUCUUAAUUAUCUAGCACCUGCAAAUUGUUCAACAGAAUAUACAUUUUGAUUACAGUAGUACACUACAUACGAAUGAUCUAAACAGCAGCCAAUUUCCUUCAUCCUUCUAUUGUUUAGCAGGCCAGUGUGUACUUUUCUGCAAAAUGGGUGAUAAUUUUUACCUGUCUUAAACACACCUAAACAGCCGUCUCUUGCAAGAGAUCAUCCCUUGUCAUGAUGUUUCCCAAUAUCUGGCUAUUAUGAAUGCAUCCUAGACAAUGGACACCCAUGCACGCACCCUAGUUACUGAACCCCUAAAUAAACCCCAUGGCAGCAACUAUUGGGUGCAAGCCACUGAAAACGAGGUGUGCUGAAAUUACACUGAAAUCAAUGAAACCUUGAAAUAUACAGUGUGCUCGUUCAGAUCAAAACCCUUCUGUGCUUAGUAGGAUACUCCCAAGUGUGUAGGAUUGCAGCUUUAGUGCCCUUGAUUUAGUUGGGACUUAAGCGUGCCUAAUUUUCACAAAGUACAGUGGUACCUCGGGUUACCUACACUUCAGGUUACAUACGCUUCAGGUUACAGACUCCGCUAACCCAGAAAUAGUACCUUGAGUUAAGAACUUUGCUUCAGGAUGAGAACAGAAAUCGUGCUCCGGCGGCGCGGUGGCAGCAGGAGGCCCCAUUAGCCAAAGUGGUGCUUCAGGUUAAGAACAGUUUCAGGUUAAGAACGGACCUCCGGAAAGAAUUAAGUACUUAACCCAAGGUACCACAGUAUUGCAGAACAGUGUCCAAUGUAUGUCCAUGCACUGAAGCACUGAGUUUAACAAAACACAAAAGUAAACAAUCAAAUUAUUGCAGGACUCGGCUCCACAUUUGGUAAAAUAGGUUGAAGUGUAUAAUGCACAGUAAAUAUUAGCCAUAUAACUGAUCAUCAUCUUCUUCAAUCAAGUCAAGGCAUAAGUCAUGCAGAUUCUCUCUCUCUCUCUCUCUCUCUCUCACACACACACACACACACACACACACACACACAAUCACUAACAGAAGUGGAUUAUAAUUGGGAGUCAUGUACAAUAUAAAUAGUCUUGGAAGUAUGAGGAGGAGGAAAACCAAUGUGCUUGGAAUGUGGCUCUGACCAUAGGAAUAUGCUUUGAAUCUUCAAUCAUUGCUUUAUGACCCAUCAAAACUUCCAUUACUGCCUAGCAAAAGGGCACAUUAAAAUUAGACUACUUUUUUUUAACAAGCAUAAAAUAUUAAUGAUGCAUGAAUAAGAAACUAUUUCUAUUAACUAUAUGACAAUGAGUUCAUUUUUAAGCAAAUUACCUUGUGCUUUAUUUCAUUUAAGUCAUUGUUGAGUACUUUAACAUGAAGCUAAAUAAGCUGAUAAAUGAAAGCCUGUUUUUGUUAAGAUUAACAAAUGCCUGAUAAUAGUAGUAGUAGU
Podarcis lilfordi (Lilford's wall lizard) is the source of this 5400-nucleotide non-coding RNA. NCBI's taxonomy places the organism in Eukaryota, Metazoa, Chordata, Lepidosauria, Squamata, Lacertidae. The record is from the annotation of a GenBank genome assembly.